This 253-nucleotide ribosomal RNA is filed under the name uncultured bacterium. RNAcentral describes it as "partial 16S ribosomal RNA". It matches the Rfam family "Bacterial small subunit ribosomal RNA", at positions 524 to 776 of the family's 1533-position model. The record is from RNAcentral.
UACAGAGGGUGCAAGCGUUAAUCGGAAUUACUGGGCGUAAAGCGCACGUAGGCGGCUUGGUAAGUUGGAUGUGAAAUCCCCGGGCUUAACUUGGGAAUUGCAUUCAAGACUGCCUUGCUAGAGUGUGGGAGAGGAAAGCGGAAUUCCAGGUGUAGCGGUGAAAUGCGUAGAUAUCUGGAGGAACAUCAGUGGCGAAGGCGGCUUUCUGGCCCAACACUGACGCUGAGGUGCGAAAGCGUGGGGAGCAAACAGG